AGCGUAACAAGGUUUCCGUAGGUGAACCUGCGGAAGGAUCAUUACCGAGUUGAUUCGAGCUCCGGCUCGACUCUCCCACCCAAUGUGUACCUACCUCUGUUGCUUUGGCGGGCCGCGGUCCUCCGCACCGGCGCCCUUCGGGGGGCUGGCCAGCGCCCGCCAGAGGACCAUAAAACUCCAGUCAGUGAACUUCGCAGUCUGAAAAACAAGUUAAUAAACUAAAACUUUCAACAACGGAUCUCUUGGUUCUGGCAUCGAUGAAGAACGCAGCGAAAUGCGAUAAGUAAUGUGAAUUGCAGAAUUCAGUGAAUCAUCGAAUCUUUGAACGCACAUUGCGCCCCUUGGUAUUCCGAGGGGCAUGCCUGUUCGAGCGUCAUUUCAACCCUCAAGCUCUGCUUGGUAUUGGGCCCCGUCCUCCACGGACGCGCCUUAAAGACCUCGGCGGUGGCGUCUUGCCUCAAGCGUAGUAGAAAACACCUCGCUUUGGAGCGCACGGCGUCGCCCGCCGGACGAACCUUUGAAUUAUUUCUCAAGGUGACCUCGAUCAGUAGGUACGGUUCCACA
Molecule: ribosomal RNA, 564 nt
Filed under: Botryosphaeria sp. P483
Lineage: Eukaryota; Fungi; Ascomycota; Dothideomycetes; Botryosphaeriales; Botryosphaeriaceae
Description: eukaryotic LSU rRNA
Rfam family: 5.8S ribosomal RNA (bases 223-376)
Source: RNAcentral